CAGCAGCCGCGGUAAUACGGAGGGUGCGAGCGUUAAUCGGAAUAACUGGGCGUAAAGGGCACGCAGGCGGUGACUUAAGUGAGGUGUGAAGGCCCCGGGCUUAACCUGGGAAUUGCAUUUCAUACUGGGUCGCUAGAGUACUUUAGGGAGGGGUAGAAUUCCACGUGUAGCGGCGAAAUGCGUAGAGAUGUGGAGGAAUACCGAAGGCGAAGGCAGCCCCUUGGGAAUGUACUGACGCUCAUGUGCGAAAGCGUGGGGAGCAAACAGGAUUAGAUACCCCUGUAGUCCCUGUCUCUUAUAC
This 301-nucleotide ribosomal RNA is filed under the name uncultured bacterium. RNAcentral describes it as "partial 16S ribosomal RNA". It matches the Rfam family "Bacterial small subunit ribosomal RNA", at positions 509 to 807 of the family's 1533-position model. The record is from RNAcentral.